AGAGAGAAUUGUGACCCAAGCAAGAAUCAUGGGUCCAGAACUCCACCCAAGGAAGCUAGUUCAAAGCAAGAGAAAGAGCACAGCUUUUCACACAAUUGAAUAGAUCUCAACUUCAUGAUUGUGGUAUUGAAGAUGCUGACAGUAGCCAGUGGCUCUGUGAAGGCAAUUUUGCAACCUACCAUUCUUGGCUACUCCUGGGAUAUUUUACUUGGCUGUGAGAGCCCCCUGAGAAGCUUCUCUUUUUCUCACACAAUUCCUCCAUCAGCAAAGUGUGGUGGGCAGCACACAGUGACUGUGAUUCUUGGAGAUGGCACUGGGACUGAACUUAUGCUGCCUGUCAAGAUUAUGUUCAGACAUGUGUGUGUGCCUGUGGACUUUGAGGGAGUGUGAGUGACCUCCACCUCUGCCUCACAUGAAGAGGAAAUUCACAAUGCCAUCAUGGCAGUUCAUUGAAACCGUGUGGCUUUGAAGAGUAGCAUUAAAACUGACGACACCCGGCCACCAUCAUACAAAUCCUUCAACAACAUGUUUACACCACCAUAGAUCUCUGUGCCAACGUCAUUCAUUUAAAAAAUUUGCCAAACAUGGAGACCUGGCACAAGGACGUAGACAUCCUAGUUGUCUGGGAAAACACAGAGGGUGAGUACAGCAAUCUGGAGCAUGAGAGUGUGAAAGGAGUGACAGAGAUCCUAAAGAUCAUGACUAAGGCCAAGUCUUUGCGCAUUGCUGAAUAUGCCUUCCAGCUGGCCCAGAAGAUGGGAUGCAAACAAGUGACGGCUGUGCACAAGGUCAACAUCAUGAAACUGGGAGAUGUUCUCUUCCUCCAGUGCUGUGGGGGAGGUGGCAUCCUGCUAUCCUCAGCUCACCUUAGAAGACACGAUUGUGGAGAAUGCCACAAUGCACUUUCUGUGAAGAGGGCUGCAGAUACGGUGGAACGUGUGUGGCUCCUAACAAAUGUGUCUGUCCAUCUGGAUUCACAGGAAGCCACUGCGAGAAAGAUAUUGAUGAAUGUUCAGAGGGAAUCAUUGAGUGCCACAACCAUUCCCGCUGCGUUAACCUGCCAGGGUGGUACCACUGUGAGUGCAGAAGCGGUUUCCAUGACGAUGGGACCUAUUCACUGUCCGGGGAGUCCUGUAUUGGAUGGCAAGAUAUUCUGCCGACGGACAGCUUGUGAUUGCCAGAAUCCAAGUGCUGACCUUUUCUGUUGCCCAGAAUGUGACACCAGAGUCACAAGUCAAUGUUUAGACCAAAAUGGUCACAAGCUGUAUCGAAGUGGAGACAAUUGGACCCAUAGCUGUCAGCAGUGUCGGUGUCUGGAAGGAGAGGUAGAUUGCUGGCCACUCACUUGCCCCAACUUGAGCUGUGAGUACACAGCUAUCUUAGAAGGGGAAUGUUGUCCCCGCUGUGUCAGUGACCCCUGCCUAGCUGAUAACAUUGCCUAUGACAUCAGAAAAACUUGCCUGGACAGCUACGGUGUUUCAAGGCUUAGCGGCUCAGUGUGGACGAUGGCUGGAUCUCCCUGCACAACCUGUAAAUGCAAGAAUGGAAGAGUCUGUUGUUCUGUGGAUUUUGAGUGUCUUCAAAAUAAUUGAAGUAUUUAAAAUGGACUCAUUGCAGAAGAAUGGACAAAAUGACCAUCCAACGUGAUUAAGAAUAGGAAUUGGUGGUUUGGUUUUUUUGUUUGUUUUGUUUUUGUAACCACAGAUAAUUGCCAAAGUUUCCAUCUGAGGAAGGUGUUUGGAGGUUGCCUUUUGGACCUACCACUUUGCUCAUUCUUGCUAACCUAGUCUAGGUGACCUACAGUGCAGUGCAUUUAAGUCAAUGGUUGUUAAAAGAAGUUUCCCGUGUUGUAAAUCAUGUUUCCCUCAUCAGAUCAUUUGCAAAUACAUUUAAAUGAUCUCAUGGU
Molecule: small RNA, 1906 nt
Filed under: Pongo abelii (Sumatran orangutan)
Lineage: Eukaryota; Metazoa; Chordata; Mammalia; Primates; Hominidae
Description: processed transcript
Source: RNAcentral